This 337-nucleotide ribosomal RNA is filed under the name uncultured bacterium. RNAcentral describes it as "bacterial SSU rRNA". It matches the Rfam family "Bacterial small subunit ribosomal RNA", at positions 32 to 361 of the family's 1533-position model. The record is from RNAcentral.
AAUCAACGCUGGCGGCGUGCCUCAGACAUGCAAGUCGAACGAUUAAAGCUCUCUUCGGAGAGUGUAUAGAGUGGCGCACGGGUGAGUAACACGUAAGUAAUCUACCUUUGAGUGCGGAAUAACGUCCGGAAACGGACGCUAAUACCGCAUAAUGCAGCGGCAUCGCAAGAUGACAGUUGUUAAAGAUUUAUCGCUUGAAGAGGAGCUUGCGGCAGAUUAGCUAGUUGGUAAGGUAAUGGCUUACCAAGGCUACGAUCUGUAACCGGCCUGAGAGGGCGGUCGGUCACACUGACACUGACAUACGGGUCAGACUCCUACGGGAGGCAGCAGUCGGGAA